CGGGGGAGGCUGGAUCCUGGGCUGUGCCCCGGCGCCCUGUGCCCCGGGGCCUGCGCUGUUGGAUUCGUGCUCCCGCCCCGCAGCCCCCU
This 89-nucleotide microRNA precursor is filed under the name Canis lupus familiaris (dog). RNAcentral describes it as "mir-8799 microRNA precursor family". It matches the Rfam family "mir-8799 microRNA precursor family". Lineage: Eukaryota; Metazoa; Chordata; Mammalia; Carnivora; Canidae. The record is from Rfam by way of RNAcentral.